Molecule: ribosomal RNA, 481 nt
Filed under: uncultured bacterium
Lineage: Bacteria
Description: bacterial SSU rRNA
Rfam family: Bacterial small subunit ribosomal RNA
Source: RNAcentral
AUUGAACGCUGGCGGCAUGCUUACACAUGCAAGUCGAACGGUAACAGCACUUCGGUGGCUGACGAGUGGCGAACGGGUGAGUAAUGUAUCGGAACGUGCCCAGUAGUGGGGGAUAACUACUCGAAAGAGUGGCUAAUACCGCAUGAGAUCUCUGGAUGAAAGCGGGGGACCGUAAGGCCUCGCGCUACUGGAGCGGCCGAUAUCAGAUUAGGUUGUUGGUGGGGUAAAGGCCUACCAAGCCUGCGAUCUGUAGCUGGUCUGAGAGGACGACCAGCCACACUGGGACUGAGACACGGCCCAGACUCCUACGGGAGGCAGCAGUGGGGAAUUUUGGACAAUGGACGCAAGUCUGAUCCAGCAAUGCCGCGUGCAGGACGAAGGCCUUCGGGUUGUAAACUGCUUUUGUACGGAACGAAAAGCCUUCUUCUAAUACAGGAGGGUCAUGACGGUACCGUAAGAAUAAGCACCGGCUAACUACGUG